This is a small nuclear RNA of Protopterus annectens (West African lungfish), 108 nucleotides long. NCBI's taxonomy places the organism in Eukaryota, Metazoa, Chordata, Ceratodontiformes, Protopteridae. The record is from RefSeq and is a predicted model, not a curated record.
UUUCUUACUUUGGCAACAUACUAAAAUUGGAACUAUACAGGGAAGAUUAGCAUGGCCCUGCGAAAGGAUGACAUGCAAAUUUGGGAAGAGUUAGGGUAGGAGGUUGGU